Molecule: ribosomal RNA, 466 nt
Filed under: uncultured bacterium
Lineage: Bacteria
Description: partial 16S ribosomal RNA
Rfam family: Bacterial small subunit ribosomal RNA
Source: RNAcentral
ACGCACGCUGGCGGCGUGCUUAACACAUGCAAGUCGCACGGAAAGGCCUCUUUCGGGGGGUACUCGAGUGGCGAACGGGUGAGUAACACGUGAGUAACCUGCCCUUGACUUUGGGAUAACUUCAGGAAACUGGGGCUAAUACCGGAUAGGAGCUCCUGCUGCAUGGUGGGGGUUGGAAAGUUUCGGCGGUUGGGGAUGGACUCGCGGCUUAUCAGCUUGUUGGUGGGGUAGUGGCUUACCAAGGCUUUGACGGGUAGCCGGCCUGAGAGGGUGACCGGCCACAUUGGGACUGAGAUAAGGCCCAGACUCCUACGGGAGGCAGAAGUGGGGAAUAUUGCACAAUGGGUGGAAGCCUGAUGCAGCAACGCCGUGUGCGGGAUGACGGCCUUCGGGUUGUAAACCGCUUUCGCUCAUGACGAAGCUUUGUGUGACGGUAGUGGGUAAAGAAGCACCGGCUAACUACGUG